Trichomycterus rosablanca is the source of this 4028-nucleotide RNA transcript. It is a transcript of the gene named transmembrane protein 63A, with no coding region annotated. The record is from RefSeq and is a predicted model, not a curated record. The transcript has 24 exons. NCBI's taxonomy places the organism in Eukaryota, Metazoa, Chordata, Actinopteri, Siluriformes, Trichomycteridae.
GUAUUUCUUCACAAAGCUUACAGCGAAUAGCAACAGUCAAACUCCCAGCUUGGUUUAGGAUUUGAUCAACGAAGCAAGUAAAGGUAAUGCUAUGGAAUCAACAAGCACUGGGCAUUUCUUGCUGGGGGAAAAUGGUACUAACCAUUCGGACAACAGUUGCUUUAGUGCUACUCCGACCACGGUACUAAAUGGUGUGAGUUUUGGUGGAGUGCAUGUUGUUCUGCUUCUUGACUUCAUCGUCUUCAUAGUGUUGCUUCUGAUCUUCUCUUGCAUCAGGAAGAAAUUAUGGGAUUAUGGAAGACUUGCACUUGUGGCAGAGGCAGACGGGUCAAAUGAGGUUACUAGACGUCGUUCUAGUAGGAUGACAUCUUUCAUGUCAGUGGACGAGUCUGAGCAUGAGAGGGGAUGUUCUUGGCUCACCUUAAUCAUCAGAAUGGAUGAAGCAGUGGUAAGAGAGAGGUGUGGGAUGGAUGCUGUUUACUAUCUGUCUUUCCAACGUCAUCUUAUUAUUUUGCUGCUCAUCGUCUGUGUGCUGUCUGUCUCUGUCAUUCUUCCAGUCAAUUUGUCUGGAAAUCUGCUAGGGAAUGAUCCUUAUAGUUUUGGCAGAACAACCAUUGCAAAUCUUCAGCAGGGGGAUAAACUACUUUGGCUCCACACGGUGUUUGCAGUUCUUUACCUCAUCCUCACCGUGGCACUGUUGAAGCAUCACACGUCACAAAUGAAGGGCAGCAAAAGAGAAACAGCUAGAAAAACCCUGUUUAUAUGCUCAGUUCCAACCACAGCCAGUGAAGACAAUUUAAAGAUUCAUUUUACAGAGGCCUACCCAACCUGUCAUGUAAACGAUGUUCACCUCAGUUAUGAUGUGGCCAAGCUGAUCUACUUGACAACAGCAAAGAAUCGAGCAGAGAAAAACUUGCUAUAUUACCGCAAGGUCCUUGAGUGUUAUGGUCGAAGGGAAGUCAUCAAUCCUCGUCCAUGCCGACAUUUCUGCAGCUGCUGCCCAUGCCAAGCGUGUGAAGGGGUUGAUGCUAUAGAAUACUACAGUUCCCAGGAGGCUGGACUUACAGAGGAAGUGUUGAAACUUAAGAACUGUAAUGAGCAGCGUGCACUGGGAAUGGCCUUUGUCACCUUCCAGACUGACUCUAUGGCAGCUUAUAUUCUGAAGGACUUUAAUGCUCUUGACUGUGGAUCUGGGGAAAUAACCGGAGAAGGCAUGGUGAGAAAAAUGUCCUGUGGUUGUGGUAGAGAGCCUCAACCUUCAUCCUGCAGUGAAUGCUUAAAAGUAAAAAACUGGAAAGUCAGCUACGCACCCCAUCCAAAUAAUAUCCACUGGGAAAAUCUGUCAGUGCAGGGCUUAAAGUGGUGGUCCCGUUGUAUGCUGCUCAACAUCUUGCUCUUCAUCAUGCUCUUCUUCCUCACCACACCCUCAAUAAUUAUCUCCACCCUAGACAAGUUUAAAGUCACACAACCCAUCUACUACCUAAAAAGUGCUGUUAUCAGUCAGUUCUUCCCAACCCUGCUCUUGUGGUCAUUUUCUGCAUUGUUACCUACUAUAGUCUACUAUUGUACGGUGCUGGAAGCCCAUUGGACCAGGUCAAAAGAGAAUAUAAGUAUGAUGUAUAAGCUGUACAUCUUCCUGCUUUUUAUGGUGCUCAUCUUGCCAUCACUGGGACUCACCAGUUUGGAUGUGUUUUUCCGAUGGCUGUUUGAUUCUCAGUCAGAACGAAAGCUGAGGUUUGAGUGUGUUUUUUUGCCAGAUCAAGGUGCUUUCUUUGUGAAUUAUGUGAUUGCAGCUGCAUUUGUGGGCUCUGGAAUGGACCUGUUGAGAUUGCCGGGAUUACUGCUCUACACUGUGCGAAUGGCACUUGCAGGUUCAGCAGCAGAAAGGAAAUAUGUUAAACAGAAUCAGGCAUAUGAGUUUGAAUAUGGAGCAAUGUAUGGAUGGACUCUGUGUGUCGUCACAGUCAUAAUGGCCUACAGUAUAACCUGUCCUGUAAUUGCCCCAUUUGGUUUCUUGUAUAUAACCUUAAAACACCUGGUGGACAAGCACAACCUGUACUUUGCAUACUUGCCUGCUCGCCUUGAUAGACAGGUGCACCUGGGAGCUGUCAAUCAAGCACUUGCUGCACCGAUCAUCUGCUUGUUCUGGCUUUACUUCUUUUCUGUGCUGAGGGCAGGUUUUAUGGCUGACACAUCACUCUUCACAUUGGUGGUUCUGUGUGUGACCAUUUUUAUUUGCAUUGGUUAUACCUGCUUUGGCCACUUUAAGUACCUCAGUCCACACAACUAUGUGGUUAAGGAGGAAGAAGACUCUGAUGUAACUUCAGAAAGUUCAAGUGACACUGUGUAUCUUCCAAAGGUAUUAAUUCCUAACACUGACUCGAAUUCUUCCUCUAAGCCCAGCUCCCAACAAUCAUACGGCACUACGGAUCAAAGCCCAGUCUUUCUCAGCACUGAGGAUGAGUGACGUGGCUAGAAUAUUCAACUGGUUGGAAGUAAACAGACUUGCAUAAUCAGAUUCUUCGGCUGCGAUGCACACUUAAGGCAUAGGGCAAGGCUGAUGCCUUGAAAUAAACACUGCAUUCUGAUGGAAACCUGUUUACCCGCCGAGGUUAAGGAUUAAAGUCGAGACUGCAGUGACAACGAUGCUGCUCCUGCCGGAUGUGACGGGUCUGGAGUAAUUGCACCAAGAAUGACAAGAAAUCACUACAGACUUUAUUGAAGACUAGAGCGAAUAACAACUCUAUUAUUAUUUAUCUAUUUAUCUAUUUAUUACCAGUUAUAACUUUUAGAUCAUUUAAUUCUGUGUUUGUAGGCUUUGUGUAAAUCGUGCAUUUAUUUAAAGUACCCUCCAGACCACCCAAUAAGGAUGGGCCCUGCUGAGUCUGGUUCCUCUCAAGGUUUCUUCCUGUAAUUUUCAGGGAGUUUUUCCUUGCCACAGUCGCCCUCGGCUUGCUCAACAGGGGUUUUUGUAUCUGUUGGUCCUGGAUUUUGUAAAGUUGCUUUGAGACAAUGUCUAUUGUAAAAAGCGCUAUAUAAAUAAAGUUGACUUGACGACUUGUAGUGGGCUCAGUGGGUAGCACUGUCGCCUUACAGCAAGAAAGCCCUGGGUUUGAUCCCCAGGUGGGAGUGGAGUUUGCAUGUUCUCCCCGUGUCUGUGUAGGUUUCCCCCAGGAGCUCCGGCUCACAUUCCCAUCUUUCAUUAAAUUCCCCUCCUUCUGUCUCAAUUUUCUCUUCUUGUACGUUUAGGUAUUAUUUGAAAAUAUUUUUCAGCAUUAUCUAGUGGCAGGAUGCGGUCACUUUGUAGGUCACAAAAUCGGCAUGCAUUGUGAGAGAUGCAGUUAAUGUACGAUUUACAGUGUAUUUUAAGACAGUUGUUCUGCCCUUGCCAAGUUUUUCCCCUUUCUCAGCUGGACAGACAGCUCCCUCCAAAGUACAGUUAGCAGUAACGAGUAACGAGUUAGUUCUUUGUGUAAAAAUACUAAUUGCUGUAGUAACAUAAUAAUCGUAUUUAAUUAUGGUAAAUUUGUAACCGAAACGCUGUAACAUACUCGCUAAACAUUUACAAAUAACUGAGAAUAUAAAUGUCUACUACUAACAGACAAUGAUUCUGUAUUGGAUUGCAAGAGAAUUAACUUCUAUUUUUUUUUUUUUAUGCUACUGACUACACUACCCCUAAAUGUAAAAGUGACAUGGCUUUUUAGCAAAGGUCAAAGUUAGUUGCCAUGAUUGUGAUGUCAAUGGUUGCUGCUUAAAGACACUUGACUUGAUGACUUGUAGUGGGCUCAGUGGGUAGCACUGUCGCCUUACAGCAAGAAAGCCCUGGGUUUGAUCCCCAGGUGGGAGUGGAGUUUGCAUGUUCUCCCCGUGUCUGUGUAGGUUUCCUCCAGGAGCUCCGGUUUCCUCCCACAGUCCAAAGACAUGCAGUCAGUUUAAUUGGAGACACAAAAUUGUCCAUGACUGUGUUUGAUAUUAAACUUGUGAAGUGAUGAAUCGUAACUACUGUUUUUGUCAUGAAUGUAACCAAA